AACGAACGCUGGCGGCAUGCCUAACGCAUGCGAGUCGAACGAGACCUUCGGGUCUAGUGGCGCACGGGUGCGUAACGCGUGGGAAUCUGCCCUUGGGUUCGGAAUAACAGUUGGAAACGACUGCUAAUACCGGAUGAUGACGUAAGUCCAAAGAUUUAUCGCCCAAGGAUGAGCCCGCGUAGGAUUAGCUAGUUGGUGAGGUAAAGGCUCACCAAGGCGACGAUCCUUAGCUGGUCUGAGAGGAUGAUCAGCCACACUGGGACUGAGACACGGCCCAGACUCCUACGGGAGGCAGCAGUGGGGAAUAUUGGACAAUGGGCGAAAGCCUGAUCCAGCAAUGCCGCGUGAGUGAUGAAGGCCUUAGGGUUGUAAAGCUCUUUUACCCGGGAUGAUAAUGACAGUACCGGGAGAAUAAGCUCCGGCUAACUCCGUG
RNAcentral lists this ribosomal RNA (433 nucleotides) under uncultured bacterium. RNAcentral's name for it is "partial 16S ribosomal RNA". It matches the Rfam family "Bacterial small subunit ribosomal RNA", at positions 29 to 507 of the family's 1533-position model. The record is from RNAcentral.